ACUUUACAAAGUCAUCAAGAAACUUCCCUGCUCUGAGUCUCCAGUGCUCUUAUCAUGAAGAAGUGGGGAUCGUCAUUUAUCACUCCAGGAAGAAGUUCGUGAUGAAAACACUGAAGCUCAUUCUUUAAUGACCUCCACAGUUGCCCAGCUACCAAAUGGUGAAGCCUGGAUUUAAACACAGGUUAUUUAACUCAAGAGCCAACAUAUUAACCAUUCAGCAUUCUCUAAAAGAUUAAGACGGACAUCUUCUGCCCCCAGUGUCACUAGUCUCAUUUUGGUGAGCUGCUUGCUAGUCUUUCCUUGAAGGCAGAGAGAAAAUUUCCAGAACUAGAAAGAGUCUUAGAGAUGAUGCCACCCAGACUCUUAUUUUGCCACAGGAGAGCAGGAGAUUGAGAAAGAUGAAGGGAUAUUCCAAGGCCGAACAGUGCUUUCCAUUUGAGGCUACCAGAAAGAAGACAAACACAACCCUCAAAGCACGAAACCACAGCCAUGAAGGGUCAAAGCCAUUCCCAAGAAGCUAGAGGGCCGUUUGGAGCUUUAGUCAUGCCUUCUGAGAUGCUGCCUGCUGCUCCCUGCUGCUCUACGUGGGAGGGAGUGGAUGACUGCCUAUGACAUGCCUUCUCCAUGCAGCUAGAGGAGUCUAUUUCAAUUGGACAAGCCAAGAUGAGGUGAGAGCUUCAUCUACACCAAGCUUAAUGCUCACCUUCAACUUCGUUGAUUGCAAGACCACCCACCAAUACCAGCCAAAAUCAGCACCAUCACAGUAAAUCAACACGCCAAACUCCUGCCACUUGACACCACUACACUCAGUAUAAAGCUGUGGUUCUCAACCUAUGGUCUCAUCUCCUUUUUAAUGAUCCUUUCACAGAGGUCACCGAAGACCAUCAGAAAACACAGAUAAAUUUACGUUGUUAUUUAUAUCCAUAGCAAAAUUACACUUAUGAAAUAGCAAUGAAAAUAACUUUAUAGUUAGGGGCCACCACAACGUGAGGAACUGUAUUAAAGGGUCAAAGAAUUAGGAAGGUUGAUAACCACUGAUAUAAAGCUUUGUUCAAGGGUCAAGAAGUAGCCUGAGAGAAAGGUUAAAA
Molecule: long non-coding RNA, 1088 nt
Organism: Mesocricetus auratus (golden hamster)
Lineage: Eukaryota; Metazoa; Chordata; Mammalia; Rodentia; Cricetidae
Exons: 4
Source: RefSeq, a predicted model, not a curated record